RNAcentral lists this ribosomal RNA (345 nucleotides) under uncultured bacterium. RNAcentral describes it as "bacterial SSU rRNA". It matches the Rfam family "Bacterial small subunit ribosomal RNA", at positions 917 to 1264 of the family's 1533-position model. The record is from RNAcentral.
GGGCCCGCACAAGCGGUGGAGCAUGUGGAUUAAUUCGACGCAACGCGCAGAACCUUACCUAGCCUUGACAUGUUAGCGUACGGCCCCCAAAAGGGCCUGACCUUCGGAACGCUUACACAGGUGCUGCAUGGCUGUCGUCAGCUCGUGUCGUGAGAUGUUGGUUAAGUCCCGCAACGAGCGCAACCCCUAUCCUUAGUUACCAGCGGUUCGGCCGGGCACUCUAGGGAAACUGCCGGUGUUAAGCCGGAGGAAGGUGGGGAUGACGUCAAGUCCUCAUGGCCCUUACGGCUAGGGCUUCACACGUGCUACAAUGGUUGGUACAGAGAGCUGCAAGACCGCGAGGUG